AACGAACGCUGGCGGCAUGCCUAACACAUGCAAGUCGAACGAGACCUUCGGGUCUAGUGGCGCACGGGUGCGUAACGCGUGGGAACCUGCCCUUAGGUUCGGAAUAACUCCCCGAAAGGGGUGCUAAUACCGGAUAAUGUCUUCGGACCAAAGAUUUAUCGCCGUUGGAUGGGCCCGCGUUGGAUUAGCUAGUUGGUAGGGUAAAAGCCUACCAAGGCGACGAUCCAUAGCUGGUCUGCGAGGAUGAUCAGCCACACUGGGACUGAGACACGGCCCAGACUCCUACGGGAAGCAGCAGUGGGGAAUAUUGGACAAGGGGCGAAAGCCGGAUCCAGCAAUGCCGCGUGAGUGAUGAAGGCCUUAGGGUUGUAAAGCUCUUUUGCCCGGGAUGAUAAUGACAGUACCGGGAGAAUAAGCGCCGGCUAACUCCGUG
This 433-nucleotide ribosomal RNA is filed under the name uncultured bacterium. RNAcentral's name for it is "partial 16S ribosomal RNA". It matches the Rfam family "Bacterial small subunit ribosomal RNA", at positions 29 to 507 of the family's 1533-position model. The record is from RNAcentral.